Molecule: ribosomal RNA, 253 nt
Filed under: uncultured bacterium
Lineage: Bacteria
Description: partial 16S ribosomal RNA
Rfam family: Bacterial small subunit ribosomal RNA
Source: RNAcentral
UACGUAGGGUGCGAGCGUUAAUCGGAAUUACUGGGCGUAAAGCGUGCGCAGGCGGUUUUGUAAGCCAGAUGUGAAAGCCCCGGGCUUAACCUGGGAAUGGCAUUUGGGACUGCAAGGCUAGAGUGCGGCAGAGGAGACUGGAAUUCCUGGUGUAGCAGUGAAAUGCGUAGAUAUCAGGAGGAACACCGAUGGCGAAGGCAGGUCUCUGGGCAUUAACUGACGCUGAGGAGCGAAAGCAUGGGGAGCGAACAGG